Molecule: ribosomal RNA, 1334 nt
Filed under: Arthrobacter sp. SDL35
Lineage: Bacteria; Bacillati; Actinomycetota; Actinomycetes; Micrococcales; Micrococcaceae
Also listed under: 1 other name
Description: 16S ribosomal RNA
Rfam family: Bacterial small subunit ribosomal RNA
Source: RNAcentral
GAUUAGUGGCGAACGGGUGAGUAACACGUGAGUAACCUGCCCUUGACUCUGGGAUAAGCCUGGGAAACUGGGUCUAAUACCGGAUAUGACCUUCCAUCGCAUGGUGGUUGGUGGAAAGCUUUUGUGGUUUUGGAUGGACUCGCGGCCUAUCAGCUUGUUGGUGGGGUAAUGGCCUACCAAGGCGACGACGGGUAGCCGGCCUGAGAGGGUGACCGGCCACACUGGGACUGAGACACGGCCCAGACUCCUACGGGAGGCAGCAGUGGGGAAUAUUGCACAAUGGGCGCAAGCCUGAUGCAGCGACGCCGCGUGAGGGAUGACGGCCUUCGGGUUGUAAACCUCUUUCAGUAGGGAAGAAGCGUAAGUGACGGUACCUGCAGAAGAAGCGCCGGCUAACUACGUGCCAGCAGCCGCGGUAAUACGUAGGGCGCAAGCGUUAUCCGGAAUUAUUGGGCGUAAAGAGCUCGUAGGCGGUUUGUCGCGUCUGCCGUGAAAGUCCGGGGCUCAACUCCGGAUCUGCGGUGGGUACGGGCAGACUAGAGUGAUGUAGGGGAGACUGGAAUUCCUGGUGUAGCGGUGAAAUGCGCAGAUAUCAGGAGGAACACCGAUGGCGAAGGCAGGUCUCUGGGCAUUAACUGACGCUGAGGAGCGAAAGCAUGGGGAGCGAACAGGAUUAGAUACCCUGGUAGUCCAUGCCGUAAACGUUGGGCACUAGGUGUGGGGGACAUUCCACGUUUUCCGCGCCGUAGCUAACGCAUUAAGUGCCCCGCCUGGGGAGUACGGCCGCAAGGCUAAAACUCAAAGGAAUUGACGGGGGCCCGCACAAGCGGCGGAGCAUGCGGAUUAAUUCGAUGCAACGCGAAGAACCUUACCAAGGCUUGACAUGAACCGGAAAGAUCUGGAAACAGGUCCCCCACUUGUGGUCGGUUUACAGGUGGUGCAUGGUUGUCGUCAGCUCGUGUCGUGAGAUGUUGGGUUAAGUCCCGCAACGAGCGCAACCCUCGUUCUAUGUUGCCAGCACGUGAUGGUGGGGACUCAUAGGAGACUGCCGGGGUCAACUCGGAGGAAGGUGGGGACGACGUCAAAUCAUCAUGCCCCUUAUGUCUUGGGCUUCACGCAUGCUACAAUGGCCGGUACAAAGGGUUGCGAUACUGUGAGGUGGAGCUAAUCCCAAAAAGCCGGUCUCAGUUCGGAUUGGGGUCUGCAACUCGACCCCAUGAAGUCGGAGUCGCUAGUAAUCGCAGAUCAGCAACGCUGCGGUGAAUACGUUCCCGGGCCUUGUACACACCGCCCGUCAAGUCACGAAAGUUGGUAACACCCGAAGCCGGUGGCCU